UGGCCUCCAUCACGGGGUUAAGGAUCCGGCAUUGUUGCAGUUGCAGCUUGGAUCCACUGUUGUUAGUGGCUGUGGUGUAGGCCAUCAGCUGUAGCUCUGAUUUGGCCCCUAGCCUGGGCACUUCCAUAGGCUGCAGGUGUGGCCCUAAAAAGAAAAAAAAAGUGCUUCCUUUAAGGAAGCUGUUUUGCCUAAAGGCAUAUCUUUGCACUGGAAAUUGUUGAAUAAAAUAUUCUGUGCUAAAAAUAAAUAAAUUCAACAACACAAAAACAAAAUUAAAAAAGCCUUCCCCAGGACUCUGAGUACAUCACAUCUCCUCCAACCUCCCUACCCUAGCUCACCUAACCCUGCACUGACCCCAGUUUUCCCAUCCCCCCAUUGAUGUCCUCUACCUCCUGAUGCCCCCCCACAAUCCUUUCCUCCCUCUACUUGGCCCACCUCCCUUUUCACACCACCUGCUGCCCGUUUCCACAACUGAGGGGCCCAAGUACCUGAUGCAUGCUCUCCCCAAAGUGACGUGCAAAUGUGGUGCUCCAUGUCCAUCAAGGACCCAGGUAUGAUUGAGCCCUACUAGAAGAGUUUCUACGUGAGGCCUUUCAACCUCACUCAGAUAAAAUCCUGAAGGUGGAAGCACUGACCAACCUGGCAAAUGAGACUAACACCCAUAUUUUCCUACAGAAAUCCCAAACCUACAUCCACAGUGAGAUAAGGACUUUGUGGCAGCCAUGGUCCAAGCCCCUAGAUACUAUUCAACUAAGAGAGGCUGAGUCAGUGACAUCUGCUUCAAAGACCUGGUGCAGUUUCUAUUCCACUGUGAUUAGCUUGAGGUCACAGAGUCAGUGGCCAUCAUGAAGAAGCUGUUGCAGAUGCGUGAAGCACACCAUGAGAUCAUCAAGCACUUGGCAAAGCUCACAGAGGACAUCCAGGUGUCCAUGGCCUGAGCCAGCAUUCUGAGGCUCAUCGGUGAGAACUGUGAGCAUGACCAUAGGAAUGCACCUGACAUCCUGAGAAAAACAGCCAAGUCCUUCACAGCAGAGGAAGACAUCACCAAGCUGCGGGUCAUCAACCUGGUCAUCAAACUUUACCCGACCACUGUAAUCGAACCAAACUGCUGACCCUGUAUGUACUGAAUCUGGCCAAGUAUGACCGGAACUACAAUGUAGGAGACCAAACACACUUCACCCAGCCACUUAUGUACCUUCAGAGUGUUACAGGACCCUCGGCCACCGUAUCAGGAAGCUCUUCCUGGCACCCAGACCACCCUCAGUCUUGGAAUCAUUCUUCAAAGACCAGAAUCACUUUUCAUAUGGGUUCACUGUACCAUCUGCUCAAAAGCAAGGCCACAGGCUACCCAAAGCUCCCAGACUCUCCAGAGGAAGCCCCACAUUGACCUGAGCACAACAUGGAGGCAUCUGAAUGGACCGAUUGAUCACAUCAAGACAAGAGGAAGGAAGAACCCUUCUACACAAAUUCUGAUGGGGAGUCAGAUCCUACGGAGCCUGCAGGCAGUGCUCUCCCAGUCUGAGAGCGAAUUGUACAGUAAGAGCAGUAGUAAGAGCAGCUCUGGGGAGUCAGCAAUGAGUCCAGUAAUGAAGACCAGAAUGAGGAUGAGGAGAAAGGGAGCAGUGGGAGUGAUCAGAGUGAGAAGGAAGAUGAGGUGAGGAAGACAAAGAAGAGGAAAAAAAUGCCAGACAGCAAAAAGCCUCCUCCCCCAAUGAUAGCAGGGAUUCUAGCUCUAGCUCAUCCGAAUCUGAGAUGAUAGCAGAGUCUGAGGAAAGGCAGAUGGAACAUGCCUCCUGGAAGAAUUCAAAAAACAAAAGAUACUAGCUGCAAAAAUGCCCUGCAGCCAAGGAGAUCUCCCUGCUUGAUCUUGAGGACUUCACCCCUCCCAGUGUCCAGCCCAACUCUCCUCCCACAGCUGUGUCCACCAGGCUGGCUGCUGACUUAGAGGGUCUGCCACUCAAAAACUUCCCACUGGUGUCCUCACUCCUGAAUCCAGUGUCAAAUGUAGGGAAGCAGGAGCUGCUGCACCUCUUAGCUGGUAAGGGGCUGACUGAGGGCUACACCUUCAGCAGCCAUCCUUUCUCCUAGCACUACCAAGUGGUGGCUGUGUGUGUCCACUUCUCCUCCAGCUCCAAUAUCCUGUCAAGGGCCCACAGGCAAGCAUCCUCUGAACUUCCUGCUGGCAUCAGCAUCCUGAAUUCGAGCCCCUAGCACUGAGAGAAUCUGUCGCUGUGGUAAUGAGCAUUAAUUUCUGUGACUCAACCUAGGCAGCUGUGCUUCCAGCUGUGAACACAAACCCCAUGGGUCUGUGUCCCCAACCAGCCACUGCAGAGCUGAGGGCUCUGUGUUCAUGAACGGGAAGGAGUUUAGAAACAGGGAAAUCUGACAGGCAUGAACAAGAUCACAUAGCGGUGCAGAAUGUGACCAACCUGGGUUGUGUUCCUUGUGGGGUGCACGGUAAGUACGGCAAGGACAGUGACCAGUGGGAGACUUGUCUUGCUGACCCUGGAAUGCCGCACCCACCAGAGCCACUCAGCUGAUGGUCAACAGUAAGAAGGUGGUGAUGGGUACCAUGUUUUUAAAGGAUGUAAUGCAGGCUCUGACGCAAUGAUUUCCAAGCUCCGUGACCUCAGUGGCUCUACCUCUUCCUCCCUCAUGACAGCUAGGCUGUUAGAUGCCCCCCUUCCCCUCAUAUCAGAUUCUUUAUGCCAGAAAGCACUCAGUGGUCCUCUCUCCCUCUGGUCAUUACCAGGGCACCCCCCCCCCGCGCCAAUUCCCCUCCCCACAAGUUCCUUAAUGACCUGUGCAGAAGGAAACAGCAGCUGCUUUCUUCAACCCUCCUAGUUUUCUGUAGCUAUUAAUGUAGAAAAACCUCAAUAAAGUGUCUUUGUAAUAUAUGCUAUAAAGUAUAUUGUAUACGUGAUGGAUGUUAGCUAGACUUAUUGUCAUGAUCACUUUGCAACAUAUCCAAAUAUCAUAUCAUUAUUCUGUACACCUGAACCUAAUGUAAUGUUUUCUGUCGAUUUUAUCUCAAUAAAGAAUAAAUAAAUAAAAUGUGUAUUUCUGAAUGGUAGUGAUUUAGGAACACUGAAUCAUAAUAUCUACAUGUGAGCCUAGAAAUUCUUCAUUUAGAAAGUGUCUGACCUUGGAGUUCCCGUUGUGACUCAGACUGUAAACUCGGCUGGUAUAUGAGCAUGCAGGCUCAAUCCCUGGUCUCACUCAGUGGGUUAAGGAUCCAGCACUGCCACAAGCAAUACAGAAUACAGCUCAGAUAUGGCAUUGGGCUUUGCUGUGGCUUUGAUGUAGGCCAGCAUCUGCAGCUCCAAUUUGACCCCUAGCUUGGGAACUUCCAUAUGCCACAGUUAUGGCCCUAAAAAGGGGAAAAAAAAAAAAAAAAGUGACCAUUUUAAAUCAUAGCAGAGUUUAAAAUUGUUAUGUCUUAGACACCUCUUGUUUCAGCAAUCCCCCUUGUCUGCCCUGGGCUCUUCCACAUGACACCAGCCCUUCAGAAAGAACCUUGGUAAACUGGAAUUGAGGUUCCAGAAGAAACUACCAAAAGCAAGAGAACCGAGAUCUCUGAAGCCUCUUUAUUCUAUAGUAGCUAGUUUACAACAAUUAACUAAAUGAAUACCUACUAAGACACAGGUAGGAGAAACAAUUUUAGAACAUCAAAAAAGAGGGGAAUUUCUGACCUUAAGAGAUUUACAAACUGAUAGGAGACAAAGGAACACAUAAAAAUCAUGUAAGGGGAAAAGAAUUUCUAAUCAUCUUAAUUUGUUGGGUAAUUGUUUUGACAUUCACAUCUAUUUUGACUAUAGAGAAAGUUUGAACAGAGUUUUCCAACCUCUAUCUAGAAUUUUCCAUUAAAUAUUCUGAGUGCAUCACUAUAAUACAGUCCAGACUUUCUAGUCUCUUACCUAGAAAUUUAUUUUGAUUUAAUCGUGUAUAAACCAUACUACAUUCUGGAACUUUAAAGAAUGUCUAGUUUCAAAUAUCCUAGAUUACUUUCUCAAAUUAUUAAAAGAUUUAAGAAAUUCCACCACUUUGAAAUCUUCUACUACUUUUGCACUCAAAUGUCAUGUAAAACACAUAUUAUUUUUUUAAUUCAUUCAUUCAUUCGUUCAUUCAUUCUAAGUCAUAAAUUGAGAGCCAUCUAUAUCUUGAGAUACUAAAAAUGAUUAAAAUUCAGUGCCUGUUCUCAGGGACCACAGCCUUAGAGAUAAGGCAGAUGCAUAAACGACCAUAUACCCUAAUUUAGGGGGAAAAAAAUCUAUCUAUGUAUCUAUCUGUCUAUCUAUAUAUCUAUCUAUCAUCACUAUAGAGAAUAUAUUUUAUCACCUGUGCUUGGCAGAUAAUGAUUUUAGAAUGAAGGCAAAGAUGAAAUUACUAUACAGAAAGUAGUCUAUAAAAGUUAAGUGGAGAGUAAGCACACAUUUUAGGGCAGCAAGGAUACAGGCAGGCCACAGAUAAGGCAAGGAAUCUUAUUUUAGCAAGGGAGAGGCAAAGAACCUAUAAUGAUCUACUCAGUGAAAGGCAUGUGCUCCUUAAAUAAUCACUAUCUGGCAUGCUUUUUCCAUUUGAUAACUAGAUUAACUGUGACACAAUAGGAUUUAGGGCAUGAGUGAGGGAAGGAAGAGCUCUCAACACCGAACGGAAAUAGGACUAGAGUACAGGGUUGCCUGGCCCCACUAACGAGAGGUAUGUCAUUUGUGAACGAAAGCACCCAUCAAAGAAUUUUCAGCAUGAAAUCCUGGGGUGCCUCCGUUUGUCACCCGAACUUCUCCUGGCUGUGGCAGGAGUCUCAGAUGCUAAUUGCCACCAUGAGUUCCUAGAUUUACACACCGAACACUAUGACAUAAUCCUGGAGGAAGGCAAGGAGAUUGGGGAAGACAGAUCUCUUCAGUCCUGCUGUGAAAGUAGAGAAAAGCAAACCCAAAGCGAACCUGACAACUUUCCCUUUAAUUGAUUUAAAUUAGGAAUUUCUCCAACUUCCAAACUGUUUUCUAAUUAAGUUCGAUAUGAAUGAUGGCCCGUGUUGUAGAUGGUUGAAAGGUGAGUUUUCUAAAAUAAAAAUGAAGUAGGAAUGCGAUCUAGUUUUCUGAAGAAGUAAUCCAUGCUAUUCGGAUGACACCUUUCACAUAUUUUGGGGAGGUGCUGAUGAUUAGUUUAUUUUAGAUUUUAAUAAAAUGAUACAUCCCGCUCAACAAGCUCUCCAAACACUAAGGCUCAUCUUAAAAAUAAUUUCAAUGAGAUUUAUUUUUAUUCAUUUUAAAAAUUGAUAUGUGCUCAUGAGAAAAUAUAUGGGAUAUAGAAAAUAGAAAAAGAGAGGGGGAAAAAAGUACCCAUAAUAACAGAUAUAGUCACUGACAAAAAUUAACAUUUUCGGUAUACUUUUCUUAUGCUUUAUAUUUCAACCCAUAAAUAAUUGUGAUGUCAUAUUAAAUAUUGUAUAAAGUAUAUGCCUUUUCAUGUAAUGUAAAACAAAUGUUUCCAUGAUAUUACAAAACUUUUCAAGGACAAAUUUAAUCCUUGCAUAAUAUUCCUUCAUAUAAAGCAUGCUGUAAUUUACUUGUAUAUUCCUCUCUUUCCAACUAUAUGUGUCAUUUCCUAAGGUUCAAUAUCUUGAAUAAGGUUUUACAAUGUAAACAAUGUGGAUAUUUUAAUUUUUGUUAUUUUUGAUUUUUUUUCCUUUGGUUUGUUGCACUCUCAGGAUUUAUUUGUGAUAGGGUUAAGUGUUAAGGGUUGGUAAUGAGAAUGAGUUUGAAUUUGACAUAUUUUGUGACACCUUCUGAUAAGAUUACUCCAGUUUUUGUCUCACCUUCAGGUAAAACUUCCCAUUUACUGUAAACAAUCUCAUAUUAAAUGUUGUGAUUUUUUACAUUUGCUCAUUUGUCUCUAACACUGAAACUGGAUUUGUAUUUAUUUGUUUGUUGAGAGGUAGAAUAUUUCCACAUGUACUUUUCAUCAGUAUUUCUUCUUUUCAUCAAUUGUCUAUUCAAAUCAUUUUAUUUCUAAUACACGAAAGCAAUCC
Molecule: long non-coding RNA, 6031 nt
Filed under: Sus scrofa (pig)
Lineage: Eukaryota; Metazoa; Chordata; Mammalia; Artiodactyla; Suidae
Description: lncRNA (ENSSSCG00035045932.1)
Source: RNAcentral